Molecule: ribosomal RNA, 1447 nt
Filed under: uncultured bacterium
Lineage: Bacteria
Description: 16S ribosomal RNA
Rfam family: Bacterial small subunit ribosomal RNA
Source: RNAcentral
GCUAGCUACAGGCUUAACACAUGCAAGUCGAGGGGCAGCAUGGUCUUAGCUUGCUAAGGCCGAUGGCGACCGGCGCACGGGUGAGUAACACGUAUCCAACCUGCCGUCUACUCUUGGACAGCCUUCUGAAAGGAAGAUUAAUACAAGAUGGCAUCAUGAGUCCGCAUGUUCACAUGAUUAAAGGUAUUCCGGUAGACGAUGGGGAUGCGUUCCAUUAGAUAGUAGGCGGGGUAACGGCCCACCUAGUCUUCGAUGGGUAGGGGUUCUGAGAGGAAGGUCCCCCACAUUGGAACUGAGACACGGUCCAAACUCCUACGGGAGGCAGCAGUGAGGAAUAUUGGUCAAUGGGCGAGAGCCUGAACCAGCCAAGUAGCGUGAAGGAUGACUGCCCUAUGGGUUGUAAACUUCUUUUAUAAAGGAAUAAAGUCGGGUAUGGAUACCCGUUUGCAUGUACUUUAUGAAUAAGGAUCGGCUAACUCCGUGCCAGCAGCCGCGGUAAUACGGAGGAUCCGAGCGUUAUCCGGAUUUAUUGGGUUUAAAGGGAGCGUAGAUGGAUGUUUAAGUCAGUUGUGAAAGUUUGCGGCUCAACCGUAAAAUUGCAGUUGAUACUGGAUAUCUUGAGUGCAGUUGAGGCAGGCGGAAAUUCGUGGUGUAGCGGUGAAAAUGCUUAGAUAUCACGAAGAACUCCGAUUGCGAAAGGCAGCCCUGCUAAGCUGCAACUGACAUUGAGGGCUCGAAAGUGUGGGUAUCAAACAGGAUUAGAUACCCUGGUAGUCCACACGGUAAACGAUGAAUACUCGCUGUUUGCGAUAUACAGCAAGCGGCCAAGCGAAAGCGUUAAGUAUUCCACCUGGGGAGUACGCCGGCAACGGUGAAACUCAAAGGAAUUGACGGGGGCCCGCACAAGCGGAGGAACAUGUGGUUUAAUUCGAUGAUACGCGAGGAACCUUACCCGGGCUUAAAUUGCAGAUGAAUUACGGUGAAAGCCGUAAGCCGCAAGGCAUCUGUGAAGGUGCUGCAUGGUUGUCGUCAGCUCGUGCCGUGAGGUGUCGGCUUAAGUGCCAUAACGAGCGCAACCCUUGUUGUCAGUUACUAACAGGUCAUGCUGAGGACUCUGACAAGACUGCCAUCGUAAGAUGUGAGGAAGGUGGGGAUGACGUCAAAUCAGCACGGCCCUUACGUCCGGGGCUACACACGUGUUACAAUGGGGGGUACAGAGGGCCGCUACCACGCGAGUGGAUGCCAAUCCCCAAAACCUCUCUCAGUUCGGACUGGAGUCUGCAACCCGACUCCACGAAGCUGGAUUCGCUAGUAAUCGCGCAUCAGCCACGGCGCGGUGAAUACGUUCCCGGGCCUUGUACACACCGCCCGUCAAGCCAUGGGAGCCGUGGGUACCUGAAGUGCGUAACCGCGAGGAGCGCCCUAGGGUAAAACUGGUGACUGGGGC